Non-coding RNA from Paramuricea clavata, 537 nucleotides. NCBI's taxonomy places the organism in Eukaryota, Metazoa, Cnidaria, Anthozoa, Malacalcyonacea, Plexauridae. The record is from the annotation of a GenBank genome assembly.
CUGAUUUGGAGCCCAAAAAUAAUGAAAGGAAUUUUAAUUUAUAAAUAUUAAGUUUUAAUCUGGGUUUUACCAAAGAAUGGUCGUAUUUAGAAAGUUUCACAAUAUUACUAUUCCAUCGAUAGGCGCGCUAUCCAAGAAUACCGAAUAGAAGGUAAUUCAUUGUUUUCGCGUGUGCGCUAUUCGUCAUGAUUCAUCACUGAAAGAAUGUCUUAAACAAAAGCCAUCACUCCCCUGACGUAAGCGCUAUUUUGAAUGUUUCCAGGGGGUGACUGCUUCUGUUUAAGGCACUUGCUGAGUGACGAAUCACCAAGAAUAGCGCAUACGCAAAAAAAUCACAAUAGAGAUGUCCUUUUGUUUAGUAUACUGUCCCUUCAUGGACUUUCUGUGAGGUAUUCUUUGCUCGAACGUUAGAAAUUAUACGUAAGAUGCGAGUCAGCAGUCGUAUCAAUGACGUAGCACAGAAUAAUAUAUAGAUACAGAAAAGCAACACAUUGCGUUCAGCCCGAAGCCCUUUUGUUUAGCGUCCACCAUCUCCCU